UGAUCCUACGGGAGGCAGCAGUGGGGAAUAUUGCACAAUGGGGGAAACCCUGAUGCAGCGACGCCGCGUGAGUGAAGAAGUAUUUCGGUAUGUAAAGCUCUAUCAGCAGGGAAGAAAAUGACGGUACCUGACUAAGAAGCCCCGGCUAACUACGUGCCAGCAGCCGCGGUAAUACGUAGGGGGCAAGCGUUAUCCGGAUUUACUGGGUGUAAAGGGAGCGUAGACGGCUGGGCAAGCCAGAUGGGAAAGCCCGGGGCUCAACC
RNAcentral lists this ribosomal RNA (263 nucleotides) under uncultured bacterium. Its description in RNAcentral is "partial 16S ribosomal RNA". It matches the Rfam family "Bacterial small subunit ribosomal RNA", at positions 334 to 614 of the family's 1533-position model. The record is from RNAcentral.